CACUCCGGUGGCCUAGUGGAUAGAUCAUCCGCCUCGGAUGCUGGAGAUGGUGGGUUCGAUCCCCAGUCGAGUAA
Molecule: non-coding RNA, 74 nt
Organism: Potamilus streckersoni
Lineage: Eukaryota; Metazoa; Mollusca; Bivalvia; Unionida; Unionidae
Source: the annotation of a GenBank genome assembly